GUACUGUGCAAACGUUAUUCGGAAUCACUGGGCUUAAAGGGUGCGUAGGCGGUGAUUUAAGUAGGGUGUGAAAUCCCUCGGCUCAACCGAGGAACUGCGCUCUAAACUGAAUCACUUGAGUAAGAUAGGGGUGUGCGGAACUUCCGGUGGAGCGGUGAAAUGUGUUGAUAUCGGAAGGAACGCCAGUAGCGAAAGCGGCACACUGGGUCUUAACUGACGCUGAGGCACGAAAGCCAGGGUAGCGAACGGGAUUAGAUACCCCGGUAGUCCUGGCUGUAAACGAUGAGCACUAGUUGGAAGGCGCUUACGCAUUUUCCAACGUAGCAAACGUAUUAAGUGCUCCGCCUGGGGAGUAUGGUCGCAAGGCUG
This 369-nucleotide ribosomal RNA is filed under the name uncultured organism. RNAcentral describes it as "partial 16S ribosomal RNA". It matches the Rfam family "Bacterial small subunit ribosomal RNA", at positions 527 to 896 of the family's 1533-position model. The record is from RNAcentral.